Molecule: long non-coding RNA, 778 nt
Filed under: Salvia miltiorrhiza (redroot sage)
Lineage: Eukaryota; Viridiplantae; Streptophyta; Magnoliopsida; Lamiales; Lamiaceae
Description: long non-coding RNA (SMIL_LNC008445)
Source: RNAcentral
UAUUUUGUCAUUAUUACUUUGUAUGAUACAAUAAAUCGUACAUGAAAUCAACCCAAAUUUAAUUUGUCACAUCUCGUAGUGCAGUUCUGAUAUGACCAACAUAUCGCUUUUAAAUAGUUACAUAUGAACUAGUAAUAAGUUUGAAUUUAACAAAUCCUUCCCCACCAGAUUAUUCCACGGAUACCCUAAAAAAAGAAUUAUUAUAUAGAAAUGCUGCAACCUAAUUGAAACCUAUGUAUGUUCCGCCCUUUGUCUGACUAACAGAAUAUCUGCACAAAUCAAAGAGAAGUUGAGGAGUAAUUUAUUUUAUAAGAGGAAAAAACAAAGCUUGUGACAUAUUCACAUUUUUGGGUUAUCAUAUUAGGGUGCGUUCUUUUUUAUUAAAAUUUUAUAAGGGAUCAUUUUUCUUCAACAACAUAGGAAAAAUAUUGACAGCGAAUUUUCUUUUAUUUUCACUCCAAUUCAUGGUAAUAUUAUCAUGAGAUAAUAAUAUACUUUUUCUUUUAAAAAAAAUGAGACAAAAAAUAAUGUGAUAAAAAAUUAUUUAUUUUAUCUUUCAUUUUUUUUUCACGAUAAAAUUAUAAUGAAAAAGAAUAUAUUUUCUUGUAAAAUAAGAUUAAUAAUGCGAGAGAUGCGUAAAUCUUGAAAUUUGGAAAGAAAAAAAAUACCGAGAUCUGUCUUUGUCGAUGGAGACGAUUCCAGUUAAGAAAUGAAUAUAAAAAGGGAGACCCACCUGUUUCGUUUGGGAUCUCACCCAUUCACCACCACCACUUCUCCA